This 486-nucleotide ribosomal RNA is filed under the name uncultured bacterium. RNAcentral's name for it is "partial 16S ribosomal RNA". It matches the Rfam family "Bacterial small subunit ribosomal RNA", at positions 28 to 507 of the family's 1533-position model. The record is from RNAcentral.
GACGAACGCUGGCGGCGUGCUUAACACAUGCAAGUCGAACGGGAUCCAAAGGCUUUUUGUUUUUGGUGAGAGUGGCGAACGGGUGAGUAACACGUGAGUAACCUGCCCCCUUCUUUUGGAUAACCGCAUGAAAGUGUGGCUAAUACAGGAUAUUCCAGGCUGGUCGCAUGAUUGGUUUGGGAAAUGGUUUGGUCUGGUGGGGGAUGGGCUCGCGGCCUAUCAGCUUGUUGGUGGGGUGAUGGCCUACCAAGGCGGUGACGGGUAGCCGGCCUGAGAGGGUGGGCGGUCACACUGGGACUGAGAUACGGCCCAGACUCCUACGGGAGGCAGCAGUGGGGGAUGUUGCACAAUGGGCGCAAGCCUGAUGCAGCGACGCCGCGUGAGGGAUGAAGGCCUUCGGGUUGUAAACCUCUUUCGCUGGGUUGAAAGGCCAUGCUUUGGGUGUGGUUGAUUUGAACUGGUAAAGAAGUACCGGCUAACUACGUG